Molecule: ribosomal RNA, 704 nt
Filed under: Schaalia radingae
Lineage: Bacteria; Bacillati; Actinomycetota; Actinomycetes; Actinomycetales; Actinomycetaceae
Description: bacterial SSU rRNA
Rfam family: Bacterial small subunit ribosomal RNA
Source: RNAcentral
ACACAUGCAAGUCGAACGGGAUCUGCGUGGCCUUUGUGGUUGUGUGGUGAGAGUGGCGAACGGGUGAGUAACACGUGAGUAACCUGCCUUUUUCUUUGGGAUAACGCUCAGAAAUGGGUGCUAAUACUGGAUGUUCUGCGCUUUCCGCAUGGGGGGUGUGGGAAAGGGGCCUUUGUGGUUUCUGGAGGGAGAUGGGCUCGCGGCUUAUCAGCUUGUUGGUGGGGUGAUGGCUUACCAAGGCUUUGACGGGUAGCCGGCCUGAGAGGGUGGGCGGUCACAUUGGGACUGAGAUACGGCCCAGACUCCUACGGGAGGCAGCAGUGGGGAAUUUUGCACAAUGGGGGGAACCUUGAUGCAGCGACGCCGCGUGAGGGAUGGAGGCCUUCGGGUUGUGAACCUCUUUCGCUCGUGUGCAAGCCGCUAUUUGGGUAGUGGUGAGUGUAGCGGGUAAAGAAGCGCCGGCUAACUACGUGCCAGCAGCCGCGGUAAUACGUAGGGCGCGAGCGUUGUCCGGAUUUAUUGGGCGUAAAGGGCUUGUAGGCGGUUUGUCGCGCCUGUCGUGUAAUCCUCUGGCUUAACUGGGGGUGUGCGGUGGGUACGGGCAGGCUUGAGUGCGGUAGGGGAGAUUGGAAUUCCUGGUGUAGCGGUGGAAUGCGCAGAUAUCAGGAGGAACACCGGUGGCGAAGGCGGGUCUCUGGGCCGUU